RNAcentral lists this non-coding RNA (177 nucleotides) under Talaromyces marneffei ATCC 18224. Its description in RNAcentral is "Penicillium marneffei ATCC 18224 Eukaryotic large subunit ribosomal RNA". It matches the Rfam family "Eukaryotic large subunit ribosomal RNA", at positions 3226 to 3401 of the family's 3401-position model. The record is from Rfam by way of RNAcentral. Lineage: Eukaryota; Fungi; Ascomycota; Eurotiomycetes; Eurotiales; Trichocomaceae.
GCUGGCGACGGCGACCCGGGAGAAGCCCUGGGCCGCUGGCUGGCGGAUUGCAAUGUCACCACGCGCGGGGAUAAAUCCUCUGCAGACGACUGAAGUGACCAAGCGGGUCAUGUACGCGUACGAGUAGCCUAGUUGUUACGAGUCGCUGAGUGUCAGCCCGACCUUGGCUCGAUUUGU